Molecule: non-coding RNA, 1686 nt
Organism: Callorhinus ursinus (northern fur seal)
Lineage: Eukaryota; Metazoa; Chordata; Mammalia; Carnivora; Otariidae
Source: RefSeq, a predicted model, not a curated record
CUGAGGAAGCUGCGGCACUCCGGGUACAGGCAGGAGCAGAGAUCCACAGAACACAAGGCUGAAUUCCUCCUCAUUCACCUGGAACGGAAGGAUGCUGGGAUGUACUUUUGUGCCUACAAGAUGAUGAUCUCCGAGGAGUGGUCAGGGGAGAGUGAAUACCUGCAGCUGAAGGUCAAAGAUGACCACAAUGGACGUGGAGCUACUGGAGUAAAAAAUGGUAAGAUAAUUUGAGAGAUGUUUUUCCAAAUUAUAUCCACCUCAUGAGGCAGGCAUUCCCCUUUGAAUAAAAGGCACAGAAGAAGAAUCGUGAUGCCUGCUUUCUCACUGUGAUGGGGAGAAUGACUGCCUUUCUGGGAAGAUGACCCCAAGCUCCUCAUGGGUUAAGGAAAAGCUGAUGAGUAAAACAGCUAGAGCCAAUGGAUUAAUCUUUGCUGCCACCUUCAGCUGCCUUUCCAUUUUGAUUCUCUUCCUCUCUUGUCUUCUUCAUCAACAGAUGUACCCAGCAUGGUUCGUCACAUGAAGAGUCCACCAAGAGGUGGAUAUGCUUGACAUAUCUUGCGCCCCUCUCUUCUUCAGAUGCCCUGUUUGUAUGUCUGUGAUUCCCAUGCCUCUUCUAAUGCCCCAUUUUCUCCCUCAGUCUUCAGAUCCCAUACUUUAAUGUGUUUUUGUCUCUCAGAACCAGCCAUUCCGAAUUUCCCAAGCAGGAGGCUACAGGUGAGUGGUAAGGGAAGAAACCAUAAGAGAAUCUUAUGGUUUGGAUGGAAAGAAUAAGUCUCACUCCUGCAAUCUGAGAGCUGAUUUUUUUUUUCCUUUCACUCACAUGCAGAUUUGUCCAACCUGGAAAGGAUAUCUGUCUCGGUGAGCUCUCUCCACGAGCUCACUUACCACCGUAGGCUGACCCUGUCUGCCUCCUGGUUUAGCCCAUACUCUAGUUACUUGGAUGCCCCCAGCUCACACGAUUGACAAGAGGCCAAUUAACAUUGUGUUUAAAAGCAUGUGCUUUGACCAAACUAAAAAAAACAGAAAGUAGAAUGGUGGUUACCAGGGGUGGGAGAAGUAGGGAGAUGUUGGCCAAAGGGUACAGACUUGCAACUAGCGGAUAAGGAAGUCGUGGAGAUGUAAGGCACAGCAUCAUGAUUAGAGUUCACAACAUUGUAUUAUAAACCUCAGAGUUGCUAAGAGACUAGAUCUUAAUUGUUCUCACUGCAAAAAAGAAAUGAUAAUUAUGUGGCAGGAUGGAGGUUUAGCUAACACUACGGUGGUGAUCGUGUUGCAAUAUAUGAAUGUAUCAAAUCAACACGUGGUACCCCUUAACCUCAUACGGUGUUAUACGUCAAUUAUAUCUCAAUAAUUCAACAAAGAAACACAUGCUUUGUAUUCCAGAGUAGCUGGGUUCCAACUCCCUAUGGCUACCAUUUCUUGCCAGUAUGGUCUGAGACAACUCACGAAACCCCUGUGAUUUGGACCCUUCAUUCCCUCCCUUAUCUAUUGGGGAUCAAAAUCCCCCAUGACAGUCCUGUGUAAUCCAGUGAUGCACUAAACACAAAGGGUUUGCUGGAAUUUCUGGCAAAUUUUAAAUGUCAGAUGGAUGGCAUGAAAGCAUCAAUUAACAAAUGUUAAUCAAUGUACACCAAUCAGUUUUUUCUAUUUGAAAUACUGCUUACUUGUGAUUUAACAUUAAUUACC